Molecule: ribosomal RNA, 253 nt
Filed under: uncultured bacterium
Lineage: Bacteria
Description: partial 16S ribosomal RNA
Rfam family: Bacterial small subunit ribosomal RNA
Source: RNAcentral
UACGUAGGUGGCAAGCGUUGUCCGGAAUUAUUGGGCGUAAAGCGCGCGCAGGCGGUCCUUUAAGUCUGAUGUGAAAGCCCACGGCUCAACCGUGGAGGGUCAUUGGAAACUGGGGGACUUGAGUACAGAAGAGAAGAGUGGAAUUCCACGUGUAGCGGUGAAAUGCGUAGAGAUGUGGAGGAACACCAGUGGCGAAGGCGGCUUCCUGGACCGACACUGACGCUGAGGAGCGAAAGCGUGGGGAGCAAACAGG